This 353-nucleotide long non-coding RNA is filed under the name Ananas comosus (pineapple). Its description in RNAcentral is "long non-coding RNA (ACOM_LNC029433)". Lineage: Eukaryota; Viridiplantae; Streptophyta; Magnoliopsida; Poales; Bromeliaceae. The record is from RNAcentral.
UAUAAUCAAAAGAUGAAGCUCCAAUUCAGAUUUUGAAGAUAAAAACACGAAAUCCAUGAAUCGAGCAAUUUCUAUAUACUAAACAAUCCGAUGAACACAUGUCGACUAUAUAGCUACUUAGAAAGCGAACCGGCGAUUAACCCACCUCAAAAGCUACUCCAAAUUCAGCGCGACGUCGAAUCAGCGAUAAACCCCGCUCGCCCGGCCUCCCAACGUAGCAACUACGGUGCCCGUAUGCUCGAACGGCUCAGCGGCGCGACGUCAGUGUCGAUCGAACUCAACUCGAGCUCCUCCUUGCUCACGGCCAAGGCUAGAGAGAGAGGAGAAGAAGAACAGUAAAAUUUCUCUCUCUU